Oncorhynchus nerka (sockeye salmon) is the source of this 1172-nucleotide long non-coding RNA. RefSeq lists it as uncharacterized. The transcript has 3 exons. The record is from RefSeq and is a predicted model, not a curated record. NCBI's taxonomy places the organism in Eukaryota, Metazoa, Chordata, Actinopteri, Salmoniformes, Salmonidae.
GGGGGAGAAGGGGAGAGGUGGAGAAGUAGUGCAGAUAGAUAGAUACCCCUGGCAUGUGAGUUCAGUUCAAAAGAAGAAGUGAUUACGAAGGACAGUGGAUAGUAGCCUUCCGCACGUCAUUACAAAGGGCAGGGCAGGAGGCGUAGAAGUGAGAUACAAGGUCCAAAAAUGAAUAUGACAAGCUGGCAGCAAUCGUUUGGCCAACUCGCAGCUUAUUCAUCGCAAAGCUGGCAAAGCUGCAGAGUUGACUCAGCACAUUUUAUUGAUGACUCGGGGCAACUCUCCACUGAUGACCUUCCCCCUCUGCCCGUCACGCCGCGUUCUCUGCUCUGACUUGGCUCGACUUCCUUUCGGAGUCUGAAGGUGCACAGGCCGAUCAGCUGAUGAACUUCUGCUUUUUGACCCAGCAGCUACCAAGGAAACAGGUGGAAGAGGAGGAGGGAUAGAGAGGGAGUGAGGGAUGGACUGACUUUAUACCACUGUCUGGGCUCUGACAAUGGGUUUCGCUGUCAAAUUAAUUGCUUGCCAUCACUUUGAUUAAUGCAUUAAACAGGCCUGAUCACGUUUACGCUGGGCUAUUCACACGUUCACACAUUCUUUCUUUUGUGUCAAAUCAAAUCAAAUCAACAUGGCCCUUUAGUUGUUGUUUUAGCCUACCUGUUGUUGGUGGUGAUUGCUUUAGUUUUGGGCUAUUAUGUUAGGCAUUGUUGUUGAUGAUGAUGAUGAUGAUGAUGAUGAUGAUGUUUCUUCUUCCUCGUUUAAUCAUCUGGCGCGGAAGGAAACAGUGGGAUUCGAAUGUAUGAUUAAUCACUGAGAAAUGAUUUGAAGGAUCUUGAGGACUCUAAGUCACUUAUAAUUGCAUCACUAUCCUAUGUUAUUGUUGUAUUGUUAUUGAUAAUAUAGUUGUUAUGGUAAACAAUCUUGACGCAUGAGUACCUCAUGAUUUACGACACACAAGGAGAUCUCUGCAUUGAAUAGUUGAAAUUGAUGAGGAAUCCCAAAAUCGGUUACACAGCCCCCUCCUGUGGUCAUUAUUUGCUUCACGCCUUCAACGUUGGCAAAUUAACGCUUCAUUACGUCAUUAUGCUUAUUGUGGUAUUUUGCUUUUGUGUUCAGUGUUCCUGAUUGGCAGAGUUUGUUCUAAACGUACAAUUAAAUGACCCAUUUCAGCA